RNAcentral lists this ribosomal RNA (275 nucleotides) under Klebsiella michiganensis. RNAcentral describes it as "partial 23S ribosomal RNA". It matches the Rfam family "Bacterial large subunit ribosomal RNA", at positions 506 to 670 of the family's 2925-position model. The record is from RNAcentral. Lineage: Bacteria; Pseudomonadati; Pseudomonadota; Gammaproteobacteria; Enterobacterales; Enterobacteriaceae. RNAcentral also lists the same sequence under 2 other names.
AGGGAAAGGCGAAAAGAACCCCGGCGAGGGGAGUGAAAAAGAACCUGAAACCGUGUACGUACAAGCAGUAGGAGCCCCACCACCAAAGCGUUUCGCUUUGCGUGGUGCGCAAAAUGCGUAACGACAGCGCGAUGGACGGUUAACGGAGCGUAAGCGACGUUCAACAUCAAAAAUCAGGCAGUGGAGCGUUUUGGGGUGGGGUGACUGCGUACCUUUUGUAUAAUGGGUCAGCGACUUAUAUUCUGUAGCAAGGUUAACCGUAUAGGGGAGCCGCA